RNAcentral lists this ribosomal RNA (465 nucleotides) under Vreelandella stevensii. RNAcentral's name for it is "partial 16S ribosomal RNA". It matches the Rfam family "Bacterial small subunit ribosomal RNA", at positions 338 to 795 of the family's 1533-position model. The record is from RNAcentral. Lineage: Bacteria; Pseudomonadati; Pseudomonadota; Gammaproteobacteria; Oceanospirillales; Halomonadaceae.
CCUACGGGUGGCUGCAGUGGGGAAUAUUGGACAAUGGGGGCAACCCUGAUCCAGCCAUGCCGCGUGUGUGAAGAAGGCCCUCGGGUUGUAAAGCACUUUCAGUGAGGAAGAACGCCUGGUGGUUAAUACCCAUCAGGAAAGACAUCACUCACAGAAGAAGCACCGGCUAACUCCGUGCCAGCAGCCGCGGUAAUACGGAGGGUGCGAGCGUUAAUCGGAAUUACUGGGCGUAAAGCGCGCGUAGGUGGCUUGAUAAGCCGGUUGUGAAAGCCCCGGGCUCAACCUGGGAACGGCAUCCGGAACUGUCAAGCUAGAGUGCAGGAGAGGAAGGUAGAAUUCCCGGUGCAGCGGUGAAAUGCGUAGAGAUCGGGAGGAAUACCAGUGGCGAAGGCGGCCUUCUGGACUGACACUGACACUGAGGUGCGAAAGCGUGGGUAGCAAACAGGAUUAGAUACCCUGGUAGUC